GGAUAGGUGAUCGAGUGGUUUAAGGUGUCAGUCUUGAAAACUGAAGUAUGUUAUAAUACCGUGGGCUCAAAUCCCACUCUUUCCU
This is a transfer RNA of Phytophthora infestans T30-4, 85 nucleotides long. It matches the Rfam family "tRNA". From Rfam's summary of the family: Transfer RNA (tRNA) molecules are approximately 80 nucleotides in length. Their secondary structure includes four short double-helical elements and three loops (D, anti-codon, and T loops). The record is from Rfam. NCBI's taxonomy places the organism in Eukaryota, Oomycota, Peronosporomycetes, Peronosporales, Peronosporaceae.